GACAGAGGAUGCAAGCGUUAUCCGGAAUGAUUGGGCGUAAAGCGUCUGUAGGUGGCUUUUUAAGUCUGCCGUCAAAUCCCAGGGCUUAACCCUGGACAGGCGGUGGAAACUACCAAGCUGGAGUACGGUAGGGGCAGAGGGAAUUUCCGGUGGAGCGGUGAAAUGCGUAGAGCUCGGGAAGAACAUCGGUGGCGAAAGCGCUCUGCUGGACUGCAACUGACACUCAGGGACGAAAGCUAGGGGAGCGAAUGGG
RNAcentral lists this ribosomal RNA (253 nucleotides) under uncultured bacterium. RNAcentral's name for it is "partial 16S ribosomal RNA". It matches the Rfam family "Bacterial small subunit ribosomal RNA", at positions 524 to 776 of the family's 1533-position model. The record is from RNAcentral.